Molecule: non-coding RNA, 185 nt
Filed under: Atribacterota
Lineage: Bacteria; Pseudomonadati
Source: RNAcentral
AAUAUUUAAAGAUAAGCAGGUUAAGGGAAGAGUGGUGAAAAUCCACCGCAGACCCGCUACUGUAAAGGGUUACGAAAGCUGUACUAAGCCACUGUUAAACACUUUUUAUAGAGUGAUAGAUGGGAAGGCACAGCAAUUAGGCUGACCCCUUAAGCCAGGAGACCUGCCUGCUUAGACGAAUUAAU